GGUCGCGUCACGCCGCCAGAAUAAUUAUGGCAAAAAUUAGAAAGCAUUUAACCCUAAGCGAUAAAGCCAAAAUAUUAGAAGAAUUAAAGAAAGGUGUCGGAGUGACCGUUUUGUCUAGACAAUAUGGUGUUGCUAAAUCCACUAUAUGCGCGAUUCGUCACAGAAGGAUAAAGAUUUUGAAACGAGUCAACAGUACUUUCACAGGACCUGGAAAAGCGAAAACUUUAAGACAAUAAGACUGUCCUAGAAUGGAAAAAGCUUUAUAUAAGUGGUUCUUAAAAACGAGGGAGAGAAAUUUUCCGGUAACUGGUUUAAUGAUCCAAGAGAAGGCCAAAUUACUUCACAGUCAAUAUAAGGAAUCUCCUUCUUUUAAUGCGAGCAGUGGUUGGAUGAAAAAGUAUGGAAUACGCUUCCUAACGAUUUCAGGAGAAAAAUUAUCGUCAGAACCCGAGCUUGUUGAUCCUUUUAAAAGAACUUUACGCCUAAAAAUAAAUGAGCUUCAGCUAACAAAAGAACAGAUUUACAAUGCCGAUGAAACUGGUUUGUAUUGGAAACUUCUGCCCGGAAAGACAUAUGUAGCUCGCGAAGAAAAAACUGCCCCAGGUAGGAAAACCGAGAAGCAAAGAGUGACUUUUCUAUCAUGCACAAACGCGGCAGGUACUCACAAUGUUAAACCAUUAAUUAUUGGUAAAGCAAAAAAUCCACGUUCGUUUCGAAAUUUUAACUGUCCCGUCCAUUAUAGAAACUCCAAAACUGCCUGGAUGACGGCAGCAAUUUUCAAAGAAUGGUUUCACCGAAUGUUUAUUCCUGAGGUAAGUUUUGUCAUAGGAAGACGUUUUAAAUUUUAGCAUCUUUGUAUCUCGAGAAUUAGAAAAAAUGGUUUCAGUCCUUUUGGACUACGAUUUUUACAAAUUUACGCCCUUUUUUUAUUCCUUUUAAGAAUUUAAACUGCACAUUAUUCUAGCAUUUGUUCUUGUCUUAGGUUACGGAAUUCCUACAGUGCCAAAACCUUUCAGUUAAAGCCAUGCUUUUGUUGGACAACGCAGCAAGCCAUCCACCUGCAGAACAGCUAAGAAGUGAUGAUGGUUCCAUUUUCACUGUUUAUAUGCCACCUAACGUUACUCCGCUAAUCCAGCCAAUGGACCAAAACGCUAUUCGUCUGACAAAACUAUUUUAUCGAAAAAAUUUGUUAUCACAAAUUAUUGGAACUAACCAGGAUAUCGGAGAUGCUCUAAAACAAUUUCGUUAAAGGACGCCAUUCUAAAUUUGGCUUUGGCGUGGAGAAAUGUAAGGCCUGAAGUUAUAGAAAAAUGCUGGCAUAAUUUACUUUCACCAUUAGCCGACGAAGUUGACGGUGAGGAAGAUAACAUGCCCUUAAGUGUUUUUUUACGGAGCCGAAUAAGAAAUGAAGACAUUGACAUUGACACAGUGAGAUCAGAAAUCAUUACUUUAUUGCAGACUUUUAAUCCAGAAGUUCAUAUUCAACCUAUUGAUGUAGACGAUUGAAAUAAAGAUAACUUACCUGACACAAAAGAAACUAAUGACCAAAGUGAAAGUGAUGGAAACGAUCAAAAUGAUGGAGUACAAGAAGAAAUGGUAGUAAAUAAGGAACGAGUGACAACAAAUUCGGCAAAGAAGUCGAUUAACAACAUCCUUCAAUGGGCCGAAGAAAAUGAAGAUAAAGUGGAAUAUUCUAGUAUUAUACUCGUUUUACAAAACUUAAGGAAUACGAUGGUGCAAACAGGACUAAAAACAAAAAAGAAAACAAAAAUUACUUCAUUUUUUGAAAAAAUAGAUUAGAUUGCCGUUUUUUUAUUUUAUUUUAAUUACAUAUGUAAUAUUUUUUCUGUUUCGCAUUAAUAAAGUUAGUUUUCUAAAGACAAACGUUGCUUUAAUAUGUACAUUAAACAAAAAUUUGAUAGAGUGAACAAAUCGAUAUAGUGAACUGGAUGUGCAUUAAUUAGUUCACUAUAUCGCGAGUCUACUGUAAUUUCUCAAAUAUGAAGGCAUUUUAAAUUAUUUUUUCUAUUUUUUAUGAAUCAAUUUACAAUAUGUUUCCAGAAAGUUUGCUUUAUUGUUCUAGUUCUAUAGAGCACCUUUAAAUAAAUUAUGUUUUUAGGCAAUACCUAAUGACCUAAUACGCGGAGCAACCAUUGUUGAUUUCAUACAACCUAUUUCAUUCGUGGUGCAUCUAUUUACACUUUCUUAUCGUCAUUUCCUAUUCUAUUCUGCAUUCAUCCUUCUAUUCCGUUUUUGCUCUAUUUACCAAAACAACGCUUCGUGGCUCUUAACAAAAAAACCUACUAUAUACGCAAAAAAUGAAGUACAUAAGCUGACUAAUUCCAAUUUUCUACUAGAAACUUAAAACAUUACAUAGUGGAGCAUAUCGUGAGCAGAACCCAUUUGUCUUAUCCAGGAUCCUAUUUUUAUCCCCCCCUCCUGGAUUUAAGGAUUCGUCGAUAUCAUUUAAAUAUUGCGUUGGAAGAAUAUCUGGACUGGCGCGCUUCGCCACUAUUGAUUUUAACUGUACGGCGUGGAAAGUGUCUGCCGUAGCUGGAAUCCAGCUCCUAUAUAGUAGCUAACAUUUAAUAUUUUGUGUGUGCGUGUUUUUUUGGUUGGCAAUAUAUUAAUAUUAUUGGUGAUUGGGAUACUGCGGAGAACCUCGAAUGAGCAGCACUGUCAAAGCGAGUUUUUCAGAGAACAUAAAUAUAAAAGUUAAUUGGUAAUUCAAUUUUCGUUUUUCUUAAACGGCAUCUUGGCAUGAUCAUGACAAUAUUCAAUUUGGUCUGUAUGCAUGCGUAUCUAAGCGAGGAAAGCUUAAAUUAAUUUAAAUAAAAUCGAUAUGGGGCUGCAUUAGUACUGUUUUGUUAACGCUUUCCAUAAAAUACCUUUAAUGGAAUCAAUUAUAUUGCUUGAACAUUCAUUUCUUAAAUUAAUUACCUUAUUUCAGGUGGUAAAUUUUUAUCUAAGUA
Molecule: long non-coding RNA, 2972 nt
Organism: Anthonomus grandis grandis
Lineage: Eukaryota; Metazoa; Arthropoda; Insecta; Coleoptera; Curculionidae
Exons: 3
Source: RefSeq, a predicted model, not a curated record